Molecule: regulatory RNA element, 105 nt
Organism: Gracilibacillus kekensis
Lineage: Bacteria; Bacillati; Bacillota; Bacilli; Caryophanales; Bacillaceae
Rfam family: SAM riboswitch aptamer (S box leader)
About the family: The SAM riboswitch is found upstream of a number of genes which code for proteins involved in methionine or cysteine biosynthesis in Gram-positive bacteria. The SAM riboswitch acts at the level of transcription termination control. The predicted structure consists of a complex stem-loop region followed by a single stem loop terminator region.
Source: Rfam
AACUCAUCCAGAGAGAGGGAGGGACUGACCCUAAGAACUCUCGGCAACCGCUUAUGAUAAGCAAGGUGCCAAUUUCAGAAGCAUAGAUAUGCUUAAAGAUGAGAA